Triticum aestivum (bread wheat) is the source of this 5241-nucleotide long non-coding RNA. RefSeq lists it as uncharacterized. The record is from RefSeq and is a predicted model, not a curated record. Lineage: Eukaryota; Viridiplantae; Streptophyta; Magnoliopsida; Poales; Poaceae. The transcript has 9 exons.
GAUGACCGCGGCCCCGUCGUCCCGCCCCCGCUCACCGUGGCGAUGCCCCGCCGCCUCGCCCUCUCUCUCCCCUUCCCCGCCCGCCCCGCUCGCCGUGGCCGGUGACCGCACCACCAAGGACCACCGUGCGCAGACCUUGGCGCAGACCCGUGCCCUCGUGCGACGGCGGCGGCAGAUCCUUCCUCAGUGCCACGCCGCGCCGCGAUGCCGCUGGCUUGGAGGCCCGUGUUCAGCAGCCGCCGCGGCGUCGUCGGCGCCGGAUGCGGUGGCAGGCUCUCAGGGGACCGCUUGGCAGGGGGGGCCGUAGCGGGUUCCGGCCGUCCUCCUCACCAUUAUCACGCAGCGAUCCUCCCCGCCCUAGCGCGGCCUCUGACCUCGACGGUGGCUGCUAAAACCGCAGGUCUCUCUCUCUCUCUCUCACUCUCUCCACUGCUGAUCCCCCUUUUUGCAGCUCAGUAUGCUAGGGAACGGAUUCACAGUCACAAUGGAGAACUGGGUGUGACAUCCAGCCUCAGGAGCUUAUGUGAUGUGUACAUGUGUUGGUGCCUUUACAGAAGAUCAAUUAUGCCUCCCUCUCGGUAAGCACGACAAGCUUUUACUUGUACCCUGAGACAUGGUGUGGAUUCUGUCAAUAUUAGGUUCUCAGCUACAUGGAAGUGAUAGUACAUUUUAGUUCUCCAUGCUUAUUAUCAUUCUUGACAAUUUUAUAUUUGCAGUGUUAGAAAUUUUCAGUUCUCCAUCCAUGGUAACUAUCAAUAUAUAAGUCCAGUUCAUGCUCUUCUAAUUAUACAUGAGGGUAUGAAAAAUCCACACUCUUAUACAUUACUACUACUUUACUUCAUAUAUGUGUCUUGAUAAAUAUGUGAAGGACGUGAGGUGUCGCUGAUGAGACCUUUGUGUUGGCCGGUGAUCAUGGGCAAUGUUAUAUAGUUAGUCUGAUAUGUUAUAUGGUCCAGCUAGGUUCGAAGGAAGGGGAUCUUUGGAUCAGUCCCAUAUUCAUGUUAGUUUUAUAACAAAUCGGUGAAAAUUACCUCUAUGUGUUGUUGCUUCAAGUUGAAGUUUGGUCACUUGUUUUUAGGUCUACCCUGCCGUCAUUUCUAUAAAAAUAAACAAAUUCUUUAUUUAUAGUCGACUGCCAUUUUCCUUUUGGCUAUGUGUUGGUCGCCCCUCAUCCGUGGCUGCUCGCAGGCGCUCCCGCAAUGCCGCGGGUAAAUCUGGUGGUGGCCAUAGCAUUGCCAGCGGCUCUGCCUCUUGCGGUGACUUUGUAGAAUACAGGUCAAGUUUAAAGCUUUCGACCGCGAUGGCUGAAAAACCAAAGUAAAUGCAUCAUAUAUAUUAAAAUAAAUGCAUGCGAAUCAUAGAAAAUAUGGUAAGCACCUAUCCUGCAAUUUAGGACUGGCGUGGUGUUGCUCUUUGUUGAUAGAAAUCAUACUUGCAUAGCUGUUUGAUUGAUUUGAUUAUAAUCAAACUGCACCGUCAUAAUUUUAAUACUGUGAUUAUUCAAAUAAAAAAUGAUCAAAGAAAUACAUGUACCAAAGUCGCAUUUGUUGAGAUCAUGAGUAGUCAUAAAAUUCUUGGUCAUUAUGUUUUUACAUUCCUGGGUUGUGUGCAUUUUCCAGAAAUAAGAAUAGAAGCUCCUCAACCCGCUCCUCAGUGAUUUGGGAUUCCUGGCCGUUGGAUCUGGUUGCUUGAUGGAUCUUGGACCGUCGGAUCGACCCCUGGAACGACCUCGCUCGUUGGAUCAAAAAAAGUUACUGCUGGAAUGAAUAGUUACCGUCUCAUUCGUGCCACCGCGCGUAAUUACGCUGCCCCGCCGAGGGCAUCUUCGUCAUUUCGCAUCCUCCGGUAUAAAACGGGGCCGCUCUAUGGAGAGAACCCUAGCCGUCACUCCCCGUCCCACCCCGCCGUCUCGCUCGCCCCGCCCCGCCCCGCCGUCUCGCUCGCCCCGCCCCGCCUGUCCCGCUCGCCCUCGCCGUGGCCGAUGACCGCGGCCCCAUCGUCCCGCCCCGCUCGCCGUGGCCGGUGACCGCGCCACCAGGGACCCCGGCCACUCGAUGAGGAGGCCUGGACCUUGGCGCAGACCCGUACCCCCGUGCGGUGGCGGCGGCAGAUCCUUCCUCAGUGCCACGCCGCGCCGCGAUGCCGCUGGCUUGGAGGCCCGUGUUCAGGCAGCCGCCGCGGCGUCGUCGGUGCCGGAUGCGGUGGCAGGCUCUCAGGGGACCGCUUGGAAGGGGGACAUCAGCCUCAGGUUGGUAUUCUACCCCUCUGAGAUGUAAUCUUGUGUGCUGUAGUCUAAUGUGAGGAGAGGGAUUAGCAAAUUUUGUUUUAUUCUUGUGGAGGAGAUUCUCAGAUUUAGCUAGGUUUCUUCUUGUGUAAUUCCAGUGCCCCGCCGAGGGGCUGUAGCCGGCCGGUCGGAAGCCAUUCUUUUUAGGGCGAUGAUGAUUAACCAUGGCUGAAAUAAGUGUGCCUUUGAGCAAUCGAGGCACCUGUGGGUAUCAAGUUGGAUCCUCCCUCGUGUCUCUAGAAUCCUUUUUGAUCUUGUGAUACCUGUUGUUCUGCCCUUGGAUGGUCAUUCUUGUUGAGUGAUAACCAGGACAGCUCGACUGUAUAAACAGAUUGAUCUGGUGAUAAGAGAUAACGGGGUAGGUAAUAUGAUUGAGGAAAGGAAAAUCUGAGCCCACUAUGCAUUGGGCCCUGAACCCUUUUUAUUUGAUUUAAAGGUGUUGCUUAUUUAUGCUCCGGUGUUUAUAGUCGUCUUAUGUAUAGAUCUCUUCUUUCUUAUAUUUUUAUUGCAUAUAAGUUGUUCUUGAUUUUUUAUUGUUUGUUGUUGGUCCUUAAUUUAAUCUGGUUAAGAGUAAGUUGGUCCUUGAUUUAAUCUGGUUGAGAGUAAGAGUAAGUUCCAUAUAAGUUGUUCUUGAUCUUUUAUUGUUAUACUUGAUCUAAUCUUUUAUUGUUUGUUUUUGGUUCUUGAUCUUUUAUUGUUUGUUGUUGGUCCCUUUUAUUAUCCUUGUGUGACACGGCUCUAUAACCCGCUGAAAAGGUCUAGACUGGUUCAUUUGCUUGCCUAAUUAGAAAUAACUCUCCAUUUUGAUUGUAUCAAUUUUUUUGGACAAUAUGGCCCUUACUGUUGUUGCAUGGCAGGGUUGUCUUAACAAAAAGUUCUAUCUAUAGUUCAUUCGGUGUUGUUGGAAUAACAUGAUAAUGUCCAGAAGAAGGAUGUCAAAGUAGCGCAACCAACAAUUUGUUUUCAAAGACUUCUAAUUUUAUCUUAAAACUAUUAAGGUUGAGAAAAUAUGAUUCACAAUAUCUAAAAACCUUUUAUGCUAUGGUUACUCUAAUCAGUAAUAAGAAAAUACUUACUAAGUUCUAUAUAUAUGCAUGUUGUGUAAAUAUAUUGCUUAGGCUACUUGUGUGUUGGAGAAUUAUUAGAUCAUUUUCUGCAUUAAUACUGGCAUCCACUCUUUCUUCUUUCUAUAUUCAAAUUGUAGAUAAAAUGCAUAAGUGGCAUGCGCUUUGGUCCUUGUUUUCUCUUUAUGUCGUACCACCUGUGAUGAUAUUUUCUAGCUCUGUAAUUUUCACACAGAAGGAGGGAGAGGGAGGGAGAAAGUACAUUUAGUUGUUUCAAUUUUAAACUACACUUGAGCCCAUGUUCCUAAUAGCCUCAAACUGAUAUAUGUUUUGCCUUACAUGAAUUGAACUAUGCUACUCUAAAAUCAGAAAGCAGAUAGCUGUAGGUUUAGUUUUUAUUUAAAAGUAGUAGCUACCGUAUACGUCAGACUGAUGUAGAUAGUAAAUUGUAACAUCUGCAAACCCUUGAUGUAAACUAGCCAGUGUUUGUUCGUUAGUUUGGCAAAAAUGUGUCGUUGUGGUCAUGAGCCUCCAGUGAACUCCGAAGGACCUCCAUUAGGAGGAUGCCAUCGCCAGACUGGCAUCGAGCUGUGGUGACAAGAUGUGGUAGGAUCCACCGGCCUCCCCUCCGACGAACAGCCCUUCUCCCUUGCCCUCAGCCUCGACACUGCCGCUGACGCCUCCGGCAGCAGGGAGGCAUCAGCACCGAUGCCGACAAGGAAGUGGGUUUAGUGCCAGGCUCCUUGCUACUGUAGCUGAUGGGGAACACUGCUAUGGGCUGCUGCAUGGUGGCGGGGUUUGGGCAUACCGCUGGUGCUCCUUCAGAUUGGUGUGGAUGCCUGUGCUCGGAAUCUGCUGUAUCUACGGGUUCCCAGGCUUGAGUCUCAGUUUGAUCUUACAGUUCUACGGCUCAAAGGUUGAUGACUGACAUGAGGCACUACCCAGUUAAAUCUUCGUCCAAGAUGACAACAAUCCUCUUGGUCUUAAAAAUUUUGUCGAGGCGGCAGGGAUCAAAGAAUAUCAUAUACAUGUCUUCGUCUUCAAAAUUAAAAGGGGAAACCAUCUCUCACUGUGACCGUUGCUGUGAUCUCUCCAAUCUACGCCAAUCUACAACAACAUGUCUCUAAGUGCGGGCGGGUGGGUAUCGGCAAGGAGGGCUGUCAGCACGGUGCUGGAGUUGGUCAUUAGAGGUGCACCUAUGCCAUGUAUGGGUCAAUACUCUAGGAGGUUGGUUUAUCCAGGGUUCUCCUAUGAUGGAAGAGGUUCUAAUCGUCUUCCAGUCAACGAUCAGGGGACGAAUGUACUCACAAAAAAUGAGCCAGGUAGCCAUGAUCCGUUUGCAGCAAAUUUGACUUCUGGCAAUUGUUCUAUGAUAUGUUGGAUCUGCUCUGGAACAUUUUCCUACGGAUAAGAGGGCCACAAUAACAAGUGCAUUCCAAGAUUUUGUGAAGGCCACAGGGAUCAAAGAAUAACAGAUCUGGGUCUUUGCCUUCCAAGAUUAUAAGGGGGAAACCAUCGCUCACUGUCCAUAUGCUUUAAAAGCAAAUCUCAAGUGCAUUGCCUAUACAAAAAUAAUUUUGUGGUCAUCUAUCUCACAAACUGUUCACAUCAAUUUCAUAUGGAAUGGCACUCACGGAGGCAAUUGAACCAACCUAUCUAUUGUAUGCCUAACUAUGACUUCGUAGUUUUAUCGCCUCCAUUGCCAUUGUUGGCUUUUUCUCUCUUAUGUUUCUGCUCAUAUUACUGAACAUAAUGUUAGCUAAUUAGUUUUUCUAUUCGUAUGACCGUAGUGGAUGCUGCCUUGCUUCUGGCACGGGUUAACUUUGAUAGUCUCAUGCCCAUGUUUAACUUGAUGAUGUUACUCUUCUGGCACAUAUUGAAUGUUUCUUCUUA